CCGACGGACGCACGCCGCCGCCGCGGCCCCAGCCAAAUCCCACCGCGGGGAGCGCUUCUCGCGAGACGCGCUGAGGCGGCGAAGCGAGAGUGGCGGAGGACGCCGGCCCGCCCAGGCCCUGAGGCUGGGGUCGGGAGACCGGGGGUCGGGCCGGACGCCGCACCCCUGCCUUCCGACACCACCGACCGGCGCGGAGGAGAGGCGAGGGGCCCCGGGCAGAACGAGAAGGGCGGCCCAGUUCGCCAUGAACGUCCGUCCAUCGUCUGGCGAGGCCUAGGCCCGGCCCCAGCGAGCCGGACGUCACCACAUCCAUCGAUCGACCUCAAAGAUAGAGUCAUCUCCAGUGGAACUGAAGAUAAGAAAGAAGAUCAAAGGAAGAAGAGGACUUCAGGAAAAGCCAGUAAGGAGUGCUGAGGUUUGGGGCUUCCCUGGUGGUGCAGUGGUUAAGAAUCCGCCUGCCAAUGCAGGGGACAUCGGUUCGAGCCCUGGCUGGGAAGAUCCCACAUACCGCAGAACAGCUAAGCCCAUGCGUCACAACUACUGAGCCCGUGCUCUAUAGCCUGCGAGCCACAACUACUGAGCCCGCGUGCUACAACUACUGAAGCCUGCGGCCCUAGAGCCCGUGCUCUGCGACAAGAGAAGCCACUGCGAUGAGAAGCCCGCACACCACAACGAAGAGUAGCCCCCACUCGCCGCAACUAGAGAAAGCCCGUGCACAGCAACGAAGACCCAAUG
Molecule: long non-coding RNA, 735 nt
Organism: Balaenoptera acutorostrata (minke whale)
Lineage: Eukaryota; Metazoa; Chordata; Mammalia; Artiodactyla; Balaenopteridae
Exons: 3
Source: RefSeq, a predicted model, not a curated record